GCUUGGUAAGUGCCUGGGCAGAUCCCCAAGUCUCUUGGUCCCCAAGUGCCCUCCUGGGGGGCAGCUGGGGUCUGGGAGGCCUUGGGACGUGGCUGUAGCUGGGUUAGUCGGCCGGCCUGAAACCCACUCCCUGGGUCUGGGCAGACUGGCCCCAAACUCCAGAGGCCACCCCUCACCCGCCAGCCGCUGCCUCUGUGCUGCGGGAUGUGCUGACUAUAAGGCGUCCCCCACCCCCAGAAUUCUGCUAAUCCCCAAGAAGGGACAGAUCCUCUGGCAGAGACAGUGGCAGACAAGAAGAGCCAGAAGUGGGGUGGGGGUAUCAGCACCCCCAGCAGCUGCUGCUGCCUGCUGACCCAGCCUCCAGCUUCUCCCAGUUCUGGGCUCUGUGGCGAGUGGCUUGGGGGCGCUACCUGACACAGGAGACCACGUCUGGGCAGAGAGUGGCUGCGGGUGGCGUCUGUGGCCCGUGGCACACACCCAGGGCCUCCCCCCGAUGCUGGUUACAGUUUGGGCUACAGUGGCCACAGCUGCCCUGCCCCUCCUUGCGGCCGUGCUGGGCGUUACCAUGGUCGCCUGCAGGGACACCGAGGGGCCAGGCAGAGCAGCCCUUGCUCACCUCACCUCACCGGAGCCCCUGCCAGAAGGGAAGGUGGGCACCUCUGGGAGGAAGGGACUGCCAGGCCUUGGGGCUUCCUGUGCUGAGUCAGAGCAGGAGCGGGAGACGCGGGAGCUCCGCAGCCGCGGCAGGUGCAGAUUUGGCGCUGCCAAGUGGCGUAGGUCCCCUUGGCCAGCACCCAGUGCCCCUUUCUUCUGCCCCCAGGGUCUUGGCUUCACAGGAUGGGGCUGCCAGUGUCCUGGGCUCCUCCUGCCCUCUGGGUUCUAGGGUGCUGCGCCCUGCUCCUCUGGCUGUGGUCGCUGUGCACAGCCUGCCGCAGGCCUGAGGACGCUCUAGCCCCCAGGAAGAGGGUGCGGAGGCAGCGGGCGAGGCUGCAGGGCAGUGCGAUGGGAGCGGAAGCGCAAGUCGGACACCAGACUGCACGAGCUGCACCGGGGCCCGCGCAGCAGCAGGGCCCUGCGGCCUGCCAGCAUGGAUCUCCUGCGCCCACACUGGCUGGAGGUGUCCAGGGACAUUACCGGACCGCAGGCAGCCCUCUCUGCCUUCCCGCUCCAGGAGCUGCCCUGGGCUCUGCCGGCAGCUGCAGCCACCGCAAGGUGCGCUGGCCCCGAGGCCACCUAUUCCAACGUGGGGCUGGCGGCCCUCCCCGGGGUCAGCUUGGCGGCCAGCCCUGUGGUGGCUGAGUAUGCCCGCGUCCAGAAGCGCAAAGGGACCCAACGCAGCCCCCAAGAGCCACAGCUGGGGAAGGCUGAGGUGACCCCGGCCGCUCAGGUGGACGUCCUGUACUCCAGGGUCUGCAAGCCUAAAAGGAGGGACCCAGGACCCACCACAGACCCGCUGAACCCCAAGGGCCAGGGAGCGAUUCUGGCCCUGGCGAGUGACCUGGCCUACGCGACCCUCCCGCUCAGGGCCCUGGAUGCGGACAGCAGCCCCCUGGAAAACGUGUAUGAGAGCAUCCGGGAGCUGGGGGACCCUGCUGGCAGGAGCAGCACGUGCGGGACUCGGACGCCCCCUGCUUCCAGCUGCCCCAGCCUAGGGAGGGGCUGGAGACCCCUCCCUGCCCCGAACACUCAAGGACUUGCGCUCCGGCCUCCAGAGAGGCCCGUCCCCCGCCCCGCCCCGCCUCACAGCUGACAGCGCCAGUCCCAGGUCCCGGGCUGCCAGCCCGUGAGGUCCGUGAGGUCCUGGCCGCUCUGACAGCCGCGGCCUCCUCGAGCUCCAGAGAAGGCCCGCGUCUAAAUAAAGCGCCCUCGCAGGAGGAACGCA
Non-coding RNA from Macaca mulatta (Rhesus monkey), 1882 nucleotides. NCBI's taxonomy places the organism in Eukaryota, Metazoa, Chordata, Mammalia, Primates, Cercopithecidae. The record is from RefSeq and is a predicted model, not a curated record.